Molecule: ribosomal RNA, 248 nt
Filed under: Meda fulgida (spikedace)
Lineage: Eukaryota; Metazoa; Chordata; Actinopteri; Cypriniformes; Leuciscidae
Description: partial 12S ribosomal RNA
Source: RNAcentral
AGAGGCCCCAGUUGAUUCUACAACGGCGUAAAGAGUGGUUAAGGAGCACAUAAUAAUAAAGCCGAACGGCCCUUUGGCUGUCAUACGCUUCUAGGCGCCCGAAGCCCAAUAUACGAAAGUAGCUUUAGUAAAGCCCACCUGACCCCACGAAAGCUGAGGAACAAACUGGGAUUAGAUACCCCACUAUGCUCAGCCGUAAACCUAGAUGUCCACCUACGAUGGCAUCCGCCCGGGUACUACGAGCAUUA